This 218-nucleotide unclassified non-coding RNA is filed under the name Hevea brasiliensis (rubber tree). Lineage: Eukaryota; Viridiplantae; Streptophyta; Magnoliopsida; Malpighiales; Euphorbiaceae. The record is from RNAcentral.
GCCGUCAACUUCAAAAUAUAAAAUUUGAGCUACCUCUUAGAGUGAGACUAUAAGGUAAAGAGAAAAAAACAAUAAAUUCAUUAAGACCUAAAAGGAUACAGUACCUACGCCCCAAAAAGAAUGCAAUUUUCCUUGCAUAAUACAAUUAAAUAGAACAUAAAACCCCAGAUGAAGAAGGAAAGGAAAUGAGCUAUAACGUCAAUUCCAAGAUGAUACCU